Molecule: ribosomal RNA, 440 nt
Filed under: uncultured bacterium
Lineage: Bacteria
Description: partial 16S ribosomal RNA
Rfam family: Bacterial small subunit ribosomal RNA
Source: RNAcentral
CCUACGGGUGGCUACAGUGGGGAAUAUUGCACAAUGGGGGAAACCCUGAUGCAGCAACGCCGCGUGGGUGAAGGAGCGUUUCGGCGCGUAAAGCCCUGUCAGCGGGGAAGAAGAAAGACGGUACCCGACCAAGAAGCCCCGGCUAACUCCGUGCCAGCAGCCGCGGUAAUACGGAGGAUGCGAGCGUUAUCCGGAUUUAUUGGGUUUAAAGGGUGCGCAGGCGGCGUGUCAAGUCAGCGGUAAAAUGUCGGGGCUCAACCCCGGCCGGCCGUUGAAACUGGCGUGCUCGAGUUGGAGAGAAGUAUGCGGAAUUCGUGGUGUAGCGGUGAAAUGCAUAGAUAUCACGAAGAACCCCGAUUGCGAAGGCAGCAUACCGGCUCCACACUGACGCUGAGGCACGAAAGCGUGGGUAUCGAACAGGAUUAGAUACCCUAGUAGUC